CCCUUUUCAAUUUUAUUUCUUAGAAAAACAAUUCAUUCGUCGCCAUUAAUGAACAACAAUUUCUCAGAAAAGUAGCUCGUUCUGUAACCGAAUCAACUCGUCGCCAUUAACGCUUCGUGGAGAAAGCAUGCUAAGCAAGCUCAUGAGUGUAAAUCCUUCAUCGAAAUCCUCAAAUCUUCAUCAAAUCAAUAACAACAAAGUUCUGUUAUUUGAACAACAUCUGUGAAAAACAAUCUAAUCUCAAGAACAUUAGAUUCUUGUUGCUUGUUAUUUGAAAAACAAUCGAGAAAAAAAUCGAAAGGUUUGGAGAUUUCGGUUACUCAAAUCUGUGAAAAAAUCCAAAAGUUUAUUUUUUUCAAAUCUGGAUUUUUUGGGAUUUGUUGAUUUGGGAUUUGCUUGUCAUCNNNAGAAAAUACAAGCUUAUUAUUUUUUCAUAAGCCAAAUUAGAGUAGUUUUUGAUGGUUUGAAAGGAAUGAUCAUCGUAAUGGGUUGCUCUUUUUGAUUUUGUUUUUCUGAAUUUUAUUGAUGAUGUUGUUGAAAAGUAGGGAUGAAGAGUAAAAAAAGAAAACGAAAAAUAGAAAAGAUUUUUUUAAAAAAAAAAUCAAAAAUGAUUAAAGGCCACAUAAGCAUGCCAUGUAAUCACUUUUGUCCAGUCACGUGCCACCUAGGAUUGCCAUGUCAGCAAAAACGGAAGAUUCCAAAUCCAAGUGGCACAGAGGGGGGUAAAUGACGGAAUAUUCACAUUGCGAGGGGGUAAUCCAAAUUAUUUAUUUUACAGGGGGUAAAAUAAAACUGGCAUAUUUUGCAGGG
This 810-nucleotide long non-coding RNA is filed under the name Trifolium pratense (red clover). RNAcentral describes it as "long non-coding RNA (TPRA_LNC003799)". The record is from RNAcentral. Lineage: Eukaryota; Viridiplantae; Streptophyta; Magnoliopsida; Fabales; Fabaceae.